Molecule: ribosomal RNA, 491 nt
Filed under: uncultured bacterium
Lineage: Bacteria
Description: partial 16S ribosomal RNA
Rfam family: Bacterial small subunit ribosomal RNA
Source: RNAcentral
GUGAACGCUGGCGGUAGGCUUAACACAUGCAAGUCGAACGGCAGCACAGUAAGAGCUUGCUCUUACGGGUGGCGAGUGGCGGACGGGUGAGGAAUACAUCGGAAUCUACUUUUUCGUGGGGGAUAACGUAGGGAAACUUACGCUAAUACCGCAUACGACCUACGGGUGAAAGCAGGGGAUCUUCGGACCUUGCGCGAUUGAAUGAGCCGAUGUCGGAUUAGCUAGUUGGCGGGGUAAAGGCCCACCAAGGCGACGAUCCGUAGCUGGUCUGAGAGGAUGAUCAGCCACACUGGAACUGAGACACGGUCCAGACUCCUACGGGAGGCAGCAGUGGGGAAUAUUGGACAAUGGGCGCAAGCCUGAUCCAGCCAUACCGCGUGGGUGAAGAAGGCCUUCGGGUUGUAAAGCCCUUUUGUUGGGAAAGAAAAGCAGCAGGUUAAUACCCCGCUGUUCUGACGGUACCCAAAGAAUAAGCACCGGCUAACUUCGUG